AUUGAACGCUGGCGGCAGGCCUAACACAUGCAAGUCGAACGAGUGGCGGACGGGUGAGUAAUGUCUGGGAAACUGACCGAUGGAGGGGGAUAACUACUGGAAACGGUAGCUAAUACAGCAUACCAUCGGAUGUGCCCAGAUGGGAUUAUCUAGAAGGUGGGGUAACGUCUCACCGGGGCGACGAGCCCUAGAUGGUCUGAGAGGAUGACCAGCCACACUGGAACUGAGACACGGUCCAGACGCCUACGGUAGGUAGCAUUGGGGAAUAUUGCACAAUGGGCUCAAGCCUGAUGCAGCCAUGCCGCGUGUAUGAAGAAGGCCUUCGGGUUGUAAAGUACUUUCAGCGAGGAGGCGUUACUCGCAGAAGAAGCACCGGCUAACUCCGUGCCAGCAGCCGCGGUAAUAC
Molecule: ribosomal RNA, 406 nt
Filed under: uncultured bacterium
Lineage: Bacteria
Description: partial 16S ribosomal RNA
Rfam family: Bacterial small subunit ribosomal RNA
Source: RNAcentral